UCCUCGUAGUGAAGCUGGGACGCCCCGUGGCUGGAACAGUGAUUCCAAUGAAGCUGGAACACCAUCAACAUGGGCGCAGACGCCAGGCUCUCAACAGCGAGACCCCCAGGCCCUCAAACGUGAAGCUCGGGAGCCCCGUGGCUGGAACAUUGAUUCCACUCCUAGCAACAGAGGAAGCCGGGACACCAUGGGCGCAGACCCCAGGCCCGCAAAGUGAAGCUGGGACUCCCCGUGGCUGGAACAGCGCUUCCACUCCAGCAACAGAGGAAGUGGGGACGCCGUGGGUGCAGACGCCAGGCCCCGAUGACGCAGCUACUGGUUGAUGUACAGCACAUCACCUUUGUUAUUGAUGUACAGCUUCUUUAGCUACUAACAAGUUGGAAUUUUCCAGAAUUACUGAUCAUUUUGUGGUUAGGUUGGUCGAUGACAUGAAGUUUUUCACUUCACUUUUUAUCUCUUCAUCUUCAUGGCUGGAUUUUUGGUUUAUCUAUGGACUUAUUGUUACCAUCUCCAAUCUCAUGCAGUGCCAUUCAUCGUGUUUUAUUACCUUGUAUUACUCUAUUUAUUUAUGCAGGAAUUGCUUCUUUUUCCAUCUUAUUUC
RNAcentral lists this long non-coding RNA (601 nucleotides) under Salvia miltiorrhiza (redroot sage). RNAcentral's name for it is "long non-coding RNA (SMIL_LNC002674)". The record is from RNAcentral. Lineage: Eukaryota; Viridiplantae; Streptophyta; Magnoliopsida; Lamiales; Lamiaceae.